GGGGGUGUCACGGUUUCGACUGAGAAAUCAAGUAUUGAUUGCAUGCGGAGGAUAUCGGUUGGCCUCCUAAAUCAUCCGAUAAAACAAUAAAUGCCAACACAAAAGGCGAAGUAAUUUAUGGUGUAGAUUUUGCUGGUGAAACUAGACAACUAGCUUUAGCUGCUUAAUUUAUCUCCGUGAAUUACUCGCUGUGUACAACCUAGCGGUUGUCACAGCACAGCAGUCCAAGAUUGGACCAAGGGUCGAGGAGUCUGCUGUAAGAUUACUUGGUGUGGAACAAAAUCCGUCGCUUCUAGGAUUGAAUUCCGAGAUCAAAUGAAGCAAGUUAGCAACAGUGGCCGUGUUCUCCAACGUAGCUGACUUAUUAAAAGAACACUAAGCAUGUAGUGGUUAAUAUGUAGUUUGCCCAGGACGAGAGUUCAAUUCUCUCCACCUCCAA
This 439-nucleotide transfer-messenger RNA is filed under the name Parachlamydia sp. It matches the Rfam family "transfer-messenger RNA". Rfam says of the family: Bacterial tmRNA, also known as 10Sa RNA or SsrA, is named for its dual tRNA and mRNA-like properties. Its role is to liberate the mRNA from a stalled ribosome. The record is from RNAcentral. Lineage: Bacteria; Pseudomonadati; Chlamydiota; Chlamydiia; Parachlamydiales; Parachlamydiaceae.